AGAGUUUGAUCCUGGCUCAGGAUGAACGCUAGCGGCAGGCCUAAUACAUGCAAGUCGAACGGUGAUAGCAAUAUCAUAGUGGCGCACGGGUGCGUAACACGUAUGCAACCUACCUAUUAUUGGGGGAUAGCCUUUGGAAACGGAGAUUAAUACCGCAUAAUACGAUUGACUGGCAUCGGUUGAUUGUUAAAGCUUCGGCGAUAAUAGAUGGGCAUGCGUCCAAUUAGUUAGUUGGUUAGGUAACGGCUGACCAAGACGAUGAUUGGUAGGGGAUCUGAGAGGAUAAUCCCCCACACUGGCACUGAGAUACGGGCCAGACUCCUACGGGAGGCAGCAGUAGGGAAUAUUGGGCGAUGGGCGGAAGCCUGACCCAGCCAUGCCGCGUGCAGGAAGAAGGCGUUAUGCGUUGUAAACUGCUUUUUUAUAGGAAGAAGGAUCCCUUGCGAGGGAAGGUGACGGUACUAUAAGAAUAAGCACCGGCUAACUCCGUGCCAGCAGCCGCGGUAAUACGGAGGGUGCAAGCGUUGUCCGGAUUUAUUGGGUUUAAAGGGUGCGUAGGCGGUUUAUUAAGUCAGUGGUGAAAGACGGUCGCUCAACGAUUGCAGUGCCAUUGAUACUGGUAG
RNAcentral lists this ribosomal RNA (623 nucleotides) under uncultured bacterium. RNAcentral's name for it is "bacterial SSU rRNA". It matches the Rfam family "Bacterial small subunit ribosomal RNA", at positions 8 to 639 of the family's 1533-position model. The record is from RNAcentral.